Long non-coding RNA from Neofelis nebulosa (Clouded leopard), 717 nucleotides. RefSeq lists it as uncharacterized. The record is from RefSeq and is a predicted model, not a curated record. Lineage: Eukaryota; Metazoa; Chordata; Mammalia; Carnivora; Felidae. The transcript is spliced from 3 exons.
CCACAGCAGCUGCUUUGGUAAUACUGACUCCCUCCAUUUUCUUUCCACUGUUAUUUAAGCUAUGUAAAGUUGCGUUUUCACGAAAAGCAUCCAGUUAGCAUCGCUUCAGCAUCAGUCUCGCGCCCAACACUGGAUUAGUCAUGAAGGAAAUGAAGCACUUCUGACCCGUUGUCUCAGCCACCGUUACAGGCUACAAAGACUCUUCAUGAUAAAUCACAGAGGUGAGGGGAAGAGGUGGUUACAAGAACAACAUCACCAGUAUCUUUCAAAUACAUUAAGAGCUGAAGCUUGUGUCACAUAAUGAGUCAGCAGGGGACUUUCUGCAAUCUCUUUGAGGCCUGGGAAUGGGGCAGUUCUGUCUGCCUCUCCUCUGAGCUGGGACCUCCCUUGGCCAGGAGUCAGGCCCUGCUGCCCCAGCCACUGGGGCCGAAGACAUCCCACAGCCUCGCUGGAAAUGUCUGAGACUCGGGUCCCAUCCAAAGCCCACUUUGCCUGCAGUGGGUCUGGCGACGGAGCAACCCUUAAGGCACGCUACUCCACCACCUUUCCUGCCUGUGACAUAGUCCCAAUCCCAAAGCGGCCCGUGGGGCCUGGGAGGAAAGCCGAUCGCUGAGCCAAGAGGGCAGUGGCACCUCACCUUCAUGGGGCCCUGAAAUUGCACACAGCACUCCUGCGUGCUAGAACAGCACAGGCAGGAAACUAGGUCUCCAUUUAACA